GAUAUAAACUAGCUCCAGAUAUGAUCACUGAGAAAGAGAAAAAGAAGUCUGAGGUUGUCAGUACCAGGCGGAGAAUGCAAGAAGGAAAGACACAGAAACAGCCAGUUGAGUGCCACGAAGUGUCAUCGGCCCCUGAUGAGGAAACUUCCUCUGCAAAGACACUGGCAUCUGAGCUGGUUCUGGAAGCUUGAUGAUGGGUGGCUGCCAUAAGAAGAAAACAAAUCCUACCAUUUGCAACAACAUGGAUGGAGCUAGAGGGUAUUAUGCUCAGUGAAAUAAGCCAGGCGGAGAAAGACAAGUACCAAAUGAUUUCACUCAUCUGUGGAGUACAAGAACAAAGAAAAAACUGAAGGAACAAAACAGCAGCAGAAUCACAGAACCCAAGAAUGGACUAACAGUUACCAAAGGGAAAGGGACUGGGGAGGAUGG
This is a long non-coding RNA of Manis pentadactyla (Chinese pangolin), 429 nucleotides long. RefSeq lists it as uncharacterized. The record is from RefSeq and is a predicted model, not a curated record. The transcript has 3 exons. Lineage: Eukaryota; Metazoa; Chordata; Mammalia; Pholidota; Manidae.